This 149-nucleotide non-coding RNA is filed under the name Rhizobium sp. RNAcentral describes it as "FMN sequence". It matches the Rfam family "FMN riboswitch aptamer (RFN element)". From Rfam's summary of the family: The RFN element is a highly conserved domain that is found frequently in the 5'-untranslated regions of prokaryotic mRNAs that encode for flavin mononucleotide (FMN) biosynthesis and transport proteins. Lineage: Bacteria; Pseudomonadati; Pseudomonadota; Alphaproteobacteria; Hyphomicrobiales; Rhizobiaceae. RNAcentral also lists the same sequence under 1 other name. The record is from RNAcentral.
AGAUGUUCUCAGGGCGGGGCGAAAUUCCCCACCGGCGGUAAAAGGUGCAAACCCCAAGCCCGCGAGCGCCUUCGCUGAUGAGGUGAAGGGUCAGCAGAUCCGGUGCAACUCCGGAGCCGACGGUAUAGUCCGGAUGGAAGAGAGCAAGC